Molecule: long non-coding RNA, 4366 nt
Organism: Halichondria panicea
Lineage: Eukaryota; Metazoa; Porifera; Demospongiae; Suberitida; Halichondriidae
Exons: 4
Source: RefSeq, a predicted model, not a curated record
AGCCAGGAAAUGGGAAAUGUGUAGUGGCUUCCAGCUUUCAGCCAACCUGAAAUGUCAAGUGACCCUUUAAUAUCACUUUACAAUAGGAAAUGUGUAGUGGCUGCUAGGUUUCAGGAGUUCCUAAAAUGUCCCUUAGAUUUACUGUAGUACUGUAGAUGAGGAAAUGUGUAGUGGCUGCUAGGUUUCAGCAGUCCUGAAAUGUCAAAAUUAAUGAUCUUUUACAUUAAUUAAGCUAUAGCCAUGCUAGCGCGUAGGCAUCCAGGGUUUGGCAACAAAAUAAACUUGAUGCCGCGGCCGCGCACAUGAACACUGAACGUAUGUCAUGCACUCUAGAAAUUACGUACAUUGUAGUCAGGGACUACAGCACACACACUUUGCAGUUCAUACUUGACUUCACAGUUCACUGAUUGGCAUAUAAUGGCCAUAAGCAUAUAAUGGCCAUAAGCAGUAUGCUUAGCAUGAUGUUCCUUUAGCCAGAUUACGGCUGCAAACAAAUGUUCUCGCGCUUCAUUCAAGGUAUGCAGAAUGAAAUACUCCAGGAUAAGUGCCAUUGUUGUUCUAUCUCUUGCGAAUACAAUAGGCCUUUUGCAGCUAUUAAAGCGAAUUCAAGGAUCUAUAGGUAACAUUCAAACAAUCAUCAUUUAAAGCUAGCUGUGAGUAUACUGUUGUUAACUGUGAAAUAGAAGAGGACAUAAACAGAGGGCAGACGAAAUUGAGACGCAAUCGAAAGAGUACUUGUAAAGUACACAAAUCCAUUUGCUCUAUAUACCUUCCAUGUAAUGUGGUCUUGAGCGAACCUUCCAGAUGUGGUUCAAAUUUGUUUUUGAGCAACUCAUCAAAUUCUUCGAUGUUGUAUGUUGUAUGUUGUGUGUUGAUGGCAAGUGUGAUGGCAAUGUCAAAUUAAACUCUCUCAAAAAUCUCUUCAUUAGUUGAUUUUCAAUGGAAUGGUGAUUGGUCGGAAAAUGCGUCAUAGGUAAACAGCCAGAAAUUAUGUACAGCAGUCUUUUAGAUGACAAUGAAGGGGUGUGAUAAAAUUACAUCCAUACAAACGCUCUACCUGGUGACAGAAUUUUAAGAGUAGGCUAAAUCUAUUUCGGAAGCUGUCAAAUUCACCUGACAUAGAAUUCUAAAUUCUAGAGGCUAACACAAAGCACAAUUGGUAGGACAUCUUUGAGGCAAAUGAGAGAGAAAAAGCAUGUCCAACUUUUAAAUUGAUCUGCUGUGAACGCUAUUUUGUAUGGAAUUCUACCAGGUAAGCACAUGUCAUCAACAAGACCUUGUAUUUUCACAAGAUUAGCGUCAACAUGUUUCAUCCAAGCAUUCUUUAAUAUUAUUAUGCUUAGCAGUGCCAAGAUAUAAAUUAUGCAUCGGAUCGAUUAUUGUCAUCCGCACAGGAUCAAAGUACGGAAGGUCUAGGAGCACGGAGUAUCUACACCCCUCCAGUUCUUGUUGCCGUUUAACUGUUGUAGUGUUUUGAUACAUUCUACAUCGCUUCUAUGCUGAGCAUUUGUUUCGGAAUACCAUGUCAAAACCUGAAUAAUUUCUGUUUCCUUUUCAGAGCAACCUAAUUCAGCAGAGUGCCCCAAGAAACCGCACACCUUUCGUGACGACAUGUGAUGCACACCUUACAAGAAUGCACACCUUACAAGCACAGGUCGUUCAAAAGUCUAAUGUGUACUCCAUUCCAACCAUUCCAAAGCUGAAGCAACUAGCUGUGAAUUGAUAUCAUGCUUUGGCUCACGGGGACCUGGCAUGAGGCCAAUGAAUAACACAUUUUCUCGUCUAAAACGCACAUCACGGGAAGUUCAUUAUUGUUAGAUAAAUAGCACCAAUGCUGUCUGUAUUCAACGAUGGUUUAAACCAAUCUAUGUUCAUCAUAAGUCCAUAGGUAUAAGGUUCGGUAAGAAAAGGUUUCCGUUGAAUGUCUUGAACUCAUUCCAUAUUCUCCCAUCAUAUAUACCAUUGUAGACCCCGGGCUUACGUGUAUUUGAGUGUCUCCAGUAUUUGAGUGUCUCCAGUGGUUACUCGUAAGUGGGGCAUAGCAAUAUAUCUUAAGAGGAUAAAGUAUUUGUCUAUUUCCAAACUCAACGCGCUUUAAUAGGCAAUUUCUAUGACAACAUAAUUUUGGCAUUUCCGUUAUACCAACCACUGUGACACACUCCGAAUGUUUGUAUAUGGUAUAACAUUUUUCACAAGCAACAUAUUUUAAAGUUUUCGUAAGAUGAAACUAGCUGAUGGAGUUUGUAUAUGAGUUUGUAUAUAGUAAGUUUCGAAAUAACAGAGAGUUGAGGUGCUGUGCUGUUUUGGAAAGAACUCUGAACAAUAGAAGAGAAAUGGCAACGUCUGGGAUGUAAUGCUUCAGUACCAUAAAGGCAGUACCAUAAUAACAAACCCAAAGUACCACCGAGUGUGUUUCAUGAGAUGGUUCGACAAUUGUGAAAAGAUCUUCGAACUCCUCUGCUUCAUCUUCUUCCCAAACUUCGAUCUCAUCUAUGUUAAAAAUAUGAUGAUAAAAUUAAUAGGAGUAGAGAUUCACACUUACUUGAAGCAUCGAUUCUAAGGAUCUAUCCUCCGCAGCAGAUAUACUGGAAACCCAUCCAUCCUCGUCCAUCUUCCUCUAUACAAAUACAAUGUAUUAAUAAAACCCAUCUACACUAAUAAUAUUUACCGUAUAUAGUUAGUGCCUCGAAAAUAACCUGCUAUUAUGGUAUAAACUAUGACAUUGACAUUGACCAACCUGUAUCAAAGUUCACUAGUGGUGGUGGUGGUGUCUCAUCAGUUUCACCCUCAAAGAAGGAUAUAUCAUCAACAUCAAAGUCAUCUAUAAAAUUAUUGUCAAGAUGAUUGUCUGCUGAAGUCAUUGCAUUAUUGUAUGCUAGAUGUAUUUGGUAAUCCCUUUCUGUCAUUGCGCAUGAGCAGUGCAGAGAGGCAAUGCGGCAACUCUCAGUGAGUUUGACUUUUCUGAGGUAAGACGAUAGCUAUCACAGAUUCUGAGUUACCUUUCUUAUAUUAAUUACCUUUCUUAUGUUCUCCUAGUAGGGCAGCACGACUUCAAGGCAGCCUCUUGAUAGGUUGGAUUCUGACGCUAGUAAUGGGUGAUGUUGGGCGUCACAGGUUCGUAGAAAACGUAAAAGGCGUCGGUCUAAGCCUUGUUCUGAAGAUGAUGCCCCGGUAACAGAAGGCUUCAAAGAAAUCAAGUACGAUCCCUCACUAAAAAAGUGGAUCAAAACGAGAAAGUACUGAAGGAAAUUCAAGAGGCAUGGUUAUAAUGAAUAUCAAAAAUAAAUGUGACUACGACUACGAAGUCUUAUGCACAUUGACCAUUGGCACAUUGACCAUUGGUAUGAUGAUUGCACUAAAAAAACCAACCGAGUCACUAGCGUCUGGUCAUUAUUUUGGGUGUACUGCUGGUGUACUGCUGAUUAAACACUAAACUUGUUGUGUGCCAUAAUUAUAUAUAAUUAUGUUCGGUGCAGGGCUUCUACUUGUCCUUCAAGUUCAGACUGUACUCCAACAAGGAAGAAAAGUGUUUCUCUGAAAGUUCGGCACGAAGUAAGGCAAAUUUACAAGAAUCUUGUGGACGACAAGGAGAAUUUCAAUGGCUGGUGUACUUCUCCAGGAUGAGAACAAUACUGUAAUGAAGACGGUCAUAAAAGAGGUCAAAGGACACGUUCAAUGCAGCAGACAUUAGAGGUUAGCACUUGAUAUACAUUUUAUGUGAUGUUGUACAGAUGCUGCAUAUCGCGAAGAAGACUCUUUGAAAAGAUCUGGAAAAAUGGAAGAGAAAAAAUUGGGAGAAGACGUCACGAAAGAAUAACUUGGAAGCGUGUUCUGAAGGAGGCUGGAGUUGUGAAGAGAGUACGAUCGAGUGCUGGAGUUGUCAGUGGAGAUGUGAAGGACGGUGGAGAGGCUGCACUGAAAAAAACUUGGUGGGUGCUCCAACCCAUGGUGUGAUGCCCCACCACUAGCUAAUUGGUGUGAAUGUCCCACUUUAAUAUUGGUGGGAUUCCAAUUAAGAAAAGAUAUACGGAACAACAAAAGAUGUAGUGGCUGAAAGUACGUAUACAUGUCUUCGGAAGAAAGUGGAGAAGAAGAUUCCAUGGUUGUUCACUGUUUGCCCUGGAGGUCUACAUGCGUUAAUCUAAUGUUUGAUAGAAUCGAUAAGUAUUGUCUUUUGAAAAAGUCACCUCAGGCAAGGAGGCAAACUAAAACGAGAAUCCAAGGAGAAAGUUUAACUCGACCCAUCCCGGCCGUCUCCAAAUCCCCUAACUCGUUACUGUACAGACAGUAUAAUUUAUUAAUUGAUCUCUGAUUUUUCAAUUCUUUGUAUCUUAUUUUGUGCUUGAUACAGGGAUUAUAAUACCUU